UAUUAAAAUUUUCAUCUAUUUUUACUGUUAAAAUCAGUGUAGUUGACAGAAUAACCAGACAGUUACAUGUGUUGUGUUAUGUGUAUUUUAUGUUGGCGCACAAGAACUAAUUGUUAAUAAUAGAAAUAGAUGAAUCUUUAACA
Molecule: non-coding RNA, 143 nt
Organism: Gossypium arboreum
Lineage: Eukaryota; Viridiplantae; Streptophyta; Magnoliopsida; Malvales; Malvaceae
Source: Rfam